GUAAAUGGUAGAAUGGUAGAUCACAUGACCGGGCUGGAAGGGGAGGAGCUUACCGUUUAAAAAAGAGGAUCCUGGUAGCGCUGAGGAGGAGGAGGAAGGAGACGAGGAGGAGGAGGGAGAAGAUGAGGAGGAGAAAUGUGCGGAGAAGGAGGAGGAAAGAGAUGAGGAAGGAGAUGAGGAGAGCAGCAGAGUGUGACAGAAAUUAUUCCUUUGCACAGAAGAUUAUGAGAGAGAAGAAGGCUGCACAAGGGUCUCUCUGUAAAACACUAAUCUCUUCAUUGGCCUCCAGUCGGAGCGGCUUAGCUGUUACAUCAGGAAGAUUUUACGUCCUUCCAGGGUCCAUGCAGCAGUCUGAGAUCCCAACCCAUGAUGGAGGCUGUAGGAGACCAUUAUCUGGAGGGCUUUUUCACUAAAGUCCAUGGACCGCUUAGGCCUCCUUUACACACUGCUCUAAAUCACCAUCAAUAUGUAGCAGAGAGGCGACUUAAUGUCUGAGCUCUCUCCUGUUACUUCUCCCAUACCCUAAUGAUAUUAUAGAGCCUGACUGAAUAUGAAUACAAUAUGCUGUGCUAGCAAAAAAUCACCAGCUUCAAACUAAUCGUAGCGGAACCAGAGGCAGAUUGACGUGGGCCUGAAAAGGGGGCAUCCAUCCAUAGACACACAACAGGAGAAGCUUGUAUUGAUGUUGCUAUAUGAACAUGUUGUCCCAGUGUAUGUAUUUUAUAUGUAUGUGACCCAUGCUGCAGGGUAUAUACUUGAAGUUUUAUAAUCUACGUUAUGACUAUGCAACCUAUAUGGAUGGUGCAGUGUCCUGGUGACAGUUCUCCUUCUGCCAUAAAGAAAACAGCUGUCAUGGAGAAAUUAUCUUGGUCUACCGCAAUGCUUAACCCCUUAAGGACCGGGGGUUUUUCUGUUUUUCCAUUUUCGUUUUUUGCUCCUUGCCUUUAAAAAAAUCAUAACUCUUUCAAUUUUGCACCUAAAAAUCCAUAUGAUUGCUUAUUUUUUGCGCCACCAAUUCUACUUUGUAAGAACGUCAGUCAUUUUGCCCAAAAAUGUACAGUGAAAUGGAAAAAAAAAUUAUUGUGCGUGCGACAAAAUUGAAAAAAAAACGCAGUUUUGUAAAUUUUGGGGGCUUCCGUUUCUACGUAGUACAUUUUUCGGUAAAAAUGACACCUUAUCUUUAUUCUGUAGGUCCAUACGAUUAAAAUGAUCCCCUACUUAUAUAGGUUUGAUUUUGUCGUACUUCUGGAAAAAAUCAUAACUACAUGCAGGAAAAUGUAUAAGUUUAAAAUUGUCCAUAAAAAGUGACCAAAAAUGCACUAUUUUAGACUUUGGAAUUUUUUUGCGCGUACGCCAUUUACCGUGUUGUUUAAUUAAUGAUAUAUUUUUAUAAUUCGGACAUUUCCGCACGCGGUGAUACCAUAUAUGUUUAUUUUUAUUUACACUGUGUUUU
Hyla sarda is the source of this 1453-nucleotide long non-coding RNA. RefSeq lists it as uncharacterized. The record is from RefSeq and is a predicted model, not a curated record. Lineage: Eukaryota; Metazoa; Chordata; Amphibia; Anura; Hylidae. The transcript has 4 exons.